GGAGGACUGCAUGUGAUGAGUUCAGGGCUUAAGGCACAAGAAUAACUACGGCCAUUUUAGCUCCAACAGUAAGUACACAACCAAUCAACCAUGCAUUUUCACGACCCAGGUUUCUGAAUUCUGGCUGGCUGGCUCGCUGGCACAGCCACAUAAUCUCACACAUUCAAAUUGCUAGCUACACAAAAAAUGCCCAGAUCUACGAGUAGAAAUCCAAGGUAACACUUAGUGCCUACAAGCAUUUACUUCAUUUUUAUCUUCAUGUAAAAAGAGAAUGCAAGCUGAAAUAUACAGUCUGCAGAUUCCUCAUGUAUGUUCAAUUUUCAGAAUAGGAAGAACGAGACCGACAGCCCUUUAAUUAGAUUGGCUGAAGCAGCAUACAUACAUAUUACAAUUUUGCAUUUUAAAUUUGAAGACUAAGGCAACGACCGAUCGAUGUAAUUGGUGGUGAAUAUCUGUUUUCUUGUUUGUAUUUAAUCUUAGAAAACAGAAUCUCAUCAAGAGAAAAUCCGUAGGCAUUGCAGUCCAAUUAUUCUAGGGAUUGGAACCAGACAUGUGACUGAAUACUGCUUGGAACAUGUGAUUCUGCAAAGUUUGCGUACAUGCACCUUCUUGGAUGAUACAACUUCUCUAUGU
RNAcentral lists this long non-coding RNA (633 nucleotides) under Triticum aestivum (bread wheat). RNAcentral's name for it is "long non-coding RNA (TAES_LNC008615)". The record is from RNAcentral. Lineage: Eukaryota; Viridiplantae; Streptophyta; Magnoliopsida; Poales; Poaceae.